This 5560-nucleotide long non-coding RNA is filed under the name Sus scrofa (pig). RNAcentral describes it as "lncRNA (ENSSSCG00000055901.1)". The record is from RNAcentral. Lineage: Eukaryota; Metazoa; Chordata; Mammalia; Artiodactyla; Suidae.
AAUCAAUGUACUGUAGAUGACAUUUUAUAAUUUUAUGCUAAAUUAAAUUUUAGCAAUAAAGUUUAUUAAUAAUAAAGUUUAUUAAUUUAUCUAGUUAUUCAAUGGUUUAUUCUCCAUGAAUAUGCAAAUUAUAUAAGAACCAGGUUUUUUAUUCUCUGUAAUGCAUCAUUAUAACCACAUGAUAUAGUAGGCCAAUGCUAUUUUAGACAUUAAAACCAAACCUGUUACCUUAUGAAUACUCCUUAGUGACCACAUUCAAUGCUACAUUGGACAAAAUAACCAUGCAGCUGAUCCCUGCCUCAAUUCCUGGAUAUCUAUGAGAUACAAUGAAAUGGUAUUGUUCUAAGCCACAAACUUUGGAGGUAAUUUGUUAAGUAGUGCUAGAAAACUGAAAUAGGACACUUCCAAAUUGUUACAAAGCCAACUUUUGAAACUUUACUUCUAUUCUUCUUCAAGAUGGGUAAUAUGUUAUUAACACAAUUGUCAUCUGUCACUGUCAUCUGAACAUUAUCUCCUUUCGAAUGAUUACCUUAAUUUUUGCAUGUGUUUUUUAGACACCUUUCUUGAUGCCAUGACACCUACUUGAACAAAAGAACUAAAUGGUGGAUAAAUUAUGGCUUUGUGAAAAAUAAAUCAUUUAAACGCAUAUUACUUUAAAGGAAAGACAGAUUUUAAAGACAAAUUAAAAUAAAAAACCUUACGCAGAUUGCAUCAUUUCCAAACCAGUUUGACUGAAAAUGGGUCCAAUGGAUUGUCUGUAUAUCAACUGGAAACAUCUGAAGAAAUACAGGACUCUUUUUUUUUAAUGGUAAAUUUUUGUUUUUGUUUUUUAAUAAUUCUAUAUAAUUUCAAUAUACUCUACCAGAAGAAUAAAAAAUAAGUCAAGAAACCUUAGACAAUGGGUGAAUCUAUAUGGGGGAAAAAUAGUUCAAUCCCAUACAUAAUAUAUCACUAGAAGCAAACAUGCUUUCAUAUUUUUUGCAUUAGUAAAAAUUAAAGUAACAAAUUAUUGAGAUGCCAGAAGCAUUAUUUAGCCAAGCAUACAAAGUAAGUCUACAAAGAUGAAUUCAGAGAUAAGUAGAGGGUAAGAAUUGUAUUAUCACACCACCACAUUUUAAGAAUUCUUAUGCAGACUUUCUAUUUUUAAUCUUUACUUAGAUGUGCUAUAAAUCAUAAAGAAUUAAAUUGAGUUUUUUGAAAGGUAAAAAUGUCUAAAAUUAUAAGCACAUAGAUAUUUAACAAAUGCUCUCCAAAGGCUUAUCAUUUUAUUAUCUAAAAAUCAUUAAAAGAAAAAAGUGAAUGACAGUUAUAUAAGAGGGGAAGUAUUAAAAUCCAUUGUGGUAUAGGAGAGGUAUAUGACAUCAAUUCCUAAGUAAGAAAUAUUAAUUUUCUCAUAAAAAUUCCAAUCACCAGUAAAUUUGUGAACUGAAUACAAGAUUUCCAAAUACAUAGUUUCUUAUCAGCAAGACACCCUGUGGAUAAAAUCCUGAUAUCAUAAAAUUCAGCAUAAAACAUUAAGCUAGGAAUAAGUAAAGAUAAUAAAUCAUAUUAAAGGGUGAAAAAAACUGAACAGUAUUUUCUGAUUAUACAAUAGCAGAAUGAAAUAAGAAAACAAAAAUUGAGUUGAAAUCAAGCAGGCGAUUAAAUAAAUAUUAAGGUACCAAUUUCCUCAAGGCCAUCAAGACAUCCUUAUUUCUCAGACUGUAUAUCAGGGGGUUAAACAUUGGGGUGACAAGAGUGUAGAAAAGAGAGAGAAACUUGUCCAUUCUGGAUGAAUGUUUGGAUUUAGGUCGUAAGUAUGCAAUGACUGCAGUUCCAAAGAAUAAAGUCACAACCAUGACAUGUGAAGAGCAAGUGGAGAAGGCCUUUGCUUUUCCUCUUGCUUAUGGCAACUUCAGGAUGGUGGAGGCGAUCUGACUGUAGGACCCAAGUAUCAACAGAAAAGGGGUCAUAAUAAACACCACAGCAAUUGUGAAGAGCAGCAUCUCAUUCAGAAAAGUGUCUCCACAGGCCAGCUUGAGUAUUGGGGGGAUGUCACAGAAGAAGUGGUUGAUUUGGUUGGAUCUACAAAAGGGCAGAGAGAAAAUCUGGCAUGUCUGCCCUAUCUCAAUCAGAGCACUAGUGAUCCAGCAGGCAGCCACCAGCUGGACACAGGCCUUGUGGUUCAUGACUAGAGGAUAGUGCAAAGGGUUACAAAUGGCCACAUAGCAGUCAUAGGCCAUCACUGUAAGAAGGAGGCACUCUAUGUUUCCAAACGUGAAAACAAAACUCAUUUGUGUGGCACAGGCAAACAGAGAAAUGUGUCUUUUCUGAGUCCAAAGGUUUACGAGCAUUCUGGGGAGAGUGACCGAUACAUAACAGAUUUCCAAGAAGGAAAAAUUACUGAGGAAAAAUACAUAGGUGUCUGGAGAGCUUUGUCAGUCCUGGUUAUGAAAAUGAUGAUGCCAUUUCCCAUCAGAGUUAUCACAUAAACAAAGAAAAAUGUCACAAAAAGAAACAUUUGGAGAUUGGGAAUAUCAGAGAACCCAAGAAGAACAAAUUCCAUUAUUGAAGUGAGAUUUACAUCCACGAGGUCUUUUUGGUGGUCCAUCUGUGAAAGCAGUGCAAUUAGACCUUAACCUUUGUAGAUCUUUUUUCUAAUUCUAAAAACUUAGAGGAUUUUGGGGAAUCUGCACAUAUGACUCUAUCUUCAACUAUUUCACUGCAUUUUAUAUCCUGAUCUCAAAGACCACAAUUGAGAUCCAGUGGAGAACACAUGUUAAAUUCUAAAUGUAUAUACAUAUUUAAUAUCUAACACUAGGCUCGACAUCAGAUGAAAGUGAUGUUUGAGAAUGCUACGUUUUUAUUUUUCAUCUUUUUGGGACACAGAAAAAUUAGUCCAUUUUACUACUCAUGUUAGCACAUGGUGUUCUGAGGCAGAAACAUUUGUACCACAUUUUUUCAGUGGUUGAGCACCGCCAAAUUUUGAAAUGGUAGUUUUUGAUAAUUUCCCAACUCUUCCAUGGAUGGUUUUAGUGUACACAGCAUUUCUUCCCUUUCUUAUGGUGCAGCUGUAACUCUUACUAUAUGUGCAUACACUUUAUUUGAAACCAUUCUAUUUGCGUUUAUCUGUCAAAAUAAACACCACUGUCAUUAGGCAUUAUAAUGCAAGACCUGUUAUCCAAACAUGCAGCAGAUGCUUGAAAAAUGUUUUUCUAACCUAUUUGACUGUUCAAUUAACCAUGACAUAUUUGAAGGAAUUGCACUGAUGUGAUUUCUGAAACUCUGCCUAGUAAAUCUACUAUCCAGUUUCUUGCUAUGUGAGAUGAAUUAUUUUUGACUAAAUUUUAUUAUUUUACUAAUAUAUGAGGAAAGACAGAAGGAAAUCAAAACCGAAAUUAUGAAUUAUUUAUGGCUAAUAGGCAUUUGUUUAAAAUAUAUUUUAGCUGGAGUGUAUGGGAUCAAAUAUAUUGUUACUGUAGGUAGUUGGAUGUACAGAGCCUCAACUUUCCCAUAUAUUGGAAUAUACUUGGACAAUAUGAGUAUUUAAGCAAGACAGGUGAUUAACAUAUUUUAGCAUUCAAUAAUAUUUGGCAAAGCAAAGACGAUUUUAACUAAGCAACUAUUGUGUUAAUAAUAUUUUCUUAUUUUAAAAUAAUCUUGAAUUGUGUGAAUGUCCUCACAUUAUAUUGUAGAUAAAGAAACUGAGGUUCAAAGAUUUACAUGACUAAACUAAAAAAAAAUUAUUCGACCUCCAAGUGUCAUGAGCACUGUGUGGAACUUAAUUCAUAUAUAGCAGAUUUCUAAGAUAGAAAAAUUGACAAGGAAAAAAAUGUGGCUUUCUGGAGGUCAGGGUCAUUUUUUUAUUAGAAAUAUGGUGCUAUUGCCAAUGAAGAUAAUGAUAUAGAUGAUGAAAAACAAUCCAAAUAGCAACCACUGGAAAUGGCAGAACAUCAACUAAGGCCAAGAGAAGAAAUUCCACCAAUUUAUUUAGAUUAUCUUCUGACGGAGCUGACUUCAGAAAAAUAAAAUAAAAUUCCCUAAACUCACCUUUCUUUAGAGACAAGGAUAUUGAGACUCACUAAAAGUGAAUAAUUUGACCAAUUUUACGUAGCUUUGUGAUUGCAAACUAGUGCCUUUUAAUUUUUUUAGUUUUAAAUCCCAUAUCCUUGAUUUUUUAUUCAGGUGAUAUUAAGUAGUUUUAAAAUUUUUCUACAUUUUGCUUCCUUAUUUGUGAAAAUCAAAUGAGAUAAUGCUGAUAAAAUUAUGACCUUUCAAAUUUAAAUAGAUUGAUUAUUUAUUACUUAGGACAUAUAGUAUAAUUAUUAUGAUUAUUAUAUUAUGUUUUUGUUUGUUAUAGCUCAUAACUAGCAAACCUGUAUUUAACACAAAUCAUCAGGCCACCUGUUGAUAAUCACUUUUUUGCAGUCUCACCUUUCAUCUGGGUAAGGUCUAGAUCAAGAGAACCAGGAUCUUAAAAAGCAAAGUUUCCCAGGUUCUCAGUCCUGCUCAGGGCUCAUCCCACACUUGCACAGAUCUUAAUGUGGGUGCCCCCAUCCAUAUUUCACCUAAGCAUCUCUUGGCUCACCACUUGCCCCAGACACUUUCAGUUCUCUGUCCUGGUGGGAUUGGACACUGUCGACCAAAUUUAGCAUGGAUACAGCAUUACCAGUAAGGAGUGCACUUUUCCCCAGAUGACCAAAUUGCAUUAUUUCCUCACUGCCUGCUAAUUCUGUGGGCUCAUGCAGGUUAUACAAUCUCCCAGGACCACAGUGCUCUCAGCUAAGUGACCCAGCUUCUGUUCCAACAUUCAGGUUAGUCAUGAGACUUCAGACAAUUAAUUCAUGUACAAUACCUUGAAGAAGCUCUGGCAUUUAUAAAGAUCUAUGUGUGCUAGUUAUUAUAAAUAAAAACUAAGAUUUUAUUUUCUGAAUUUUACUCAGCCUUCUACACAACUUGAAAGCAUUACCUAAAAUUAACUUUUUUGUAUCACAUGAAGAUUAUGGGAAUGGAGUAAGAUUUAAAGCAGUUAUCAAAUAUUAUAAAAUCCCUAAGCAAUUCACCUUUCAAGCUGUAAAUUCUCCAUGAAUUUUCUGCCAGUAUAGUUUUUUUGUGCUAUCAUCUUUACUUUGCAGACUCUAACAUCUAUAGUAUGCAUCACUAUUUAGAUCUUAGUAUUGCAAUUUCAUCAAUUCCUUUCAUUCGCCUUUUCUUUAAGAGACACUAAAUUACGUGCGUGGAAAGGGCUGUUACCAUUUUUCUACUUGGAUCCAAUACAGAUCCAAGAAAGUUACAGUACACUUAAUAUGGUGCUCAGUAUUAGAUCCUGAAAUGAACUAAAGCAGUAGACAUUAUUUAAAUGAAAUAUUUGUAGUUCCUGCUGUGGCUCAGUGGUAAUGAACCCAACUAGCAGCCAUGAGAAUGGGGGUUCAAUCCCUGGCCUCAUUCAGUGGGUGCAGGAUCCUGGUUGCCAUGACCUGAGGUGUAGGUUGCAGAAGCAGCUUGGAUCUCGCAUUGCUGUGGUUGUGCUGUACACCUGCAGCUCCAAUUCGACCCCUAGACAGGGAAUUUUCAUAUGCCC